Chiloscyllium plagiosum (whitespotted bambooshark) is the source of this 1124-nucleotide long non-coding RNA. RefSeq lists it as uncharacterized. The record is from RefSeq and is a predicted model, not a curated record. Lineage: Eukaryota; Metazoa; Chordata; Chondrichthyes; Orectolobiformes; Hemiscylliidae.
UCCACAGGUUAAUCCAUCCCUCUAGUGACGUUGCAGCAAAAUUAGGUUUUUGUACAAUGUACUAUCUAGCGAGGUACUGGACCAAGACCAUUUCGAUUAAACCUGACAAUUUCUUUAGUAAGACGGUGCCUUGUUUGGUGAGGAGGAGGGGUGUUAAUGGUGGAGUGGGGAAAGACUUUCGUGGCUGUGCAGCUAAGCUGCAGAAAGUACACACUGUCAAUGUUUCACUUCCGAAGGUGAAACCACAUUUCACACACAACACCGCCUGCUCCCCUCAACUCCACCGCACAUCUCGGAUUAUUUCACUGUCUCGGGAAACUACGGUAUCAUCACAUAAACACGAAUCUUACAAUGGAAAUUCGCUAACACAAUCAUAGUUCAGCACAGUAGCUGUCGUGCUACGCUGGCUCAGUGGUUGACGCUGCUACUUCACUAAGUGCUAGGGUCAGAAAUUCAAUUCCACCCCCGCGAAGCUGCAGGUGAGGAGUUUGCACGUUCUCUCUGAGUGCCGUUUGUCCAUGUGCGCUGGCUUCCUCCCACAACACAAAAAUGCACAGGGAUAAAAGCCAGCCGUGGAAAAGUCUCAGCUGAUUUUUAAGUGCCUGUCAGAGGAGACCGUUCGUCACGAAUGUGACAAGAUUCUUUUGCCAGAGAAACAAGUCAGAGCGCCUCCUAAGGGCACACUGUCCUCAAACUAUUGCAAUUAGUGUCGUCACAAUAUUAAGAAUAUUGAUCAAUGAAGAAUGAUGAAAAAAAUGACUGAGAGAUUCGUGGAUUAUAGGAAAAACAAGUAUUUUUCAAAUAUGCAACCUUCUUGGAAACAUUUACAACAUUAUUAAGAACAAGCUUGUGUUCACUUGAAUGUUAAAGUCGGGCUUAGAGAUGUAAGUUGGAGAUUUAAAAAAAAAGGCCAGAUGUUACACAACACCAAGUUUCACUCCAACAGCUUAAUUUGAAACCACACGUUUUCGAUGCGCUAUUCCUUUGCCAAGUUCAGGAGACUUCACUAUAAGGAAGGAGCAGCAUUUCGAAAGCUGUGAUUUCAAAUGAACCUGCUGAAGAACAGUACCGUGUCGUGACACUUCUGACCCUAUUCAUCCCAAUCCAACACCGGCAUCUUUCCA